GGCCUUAUAGCUCAGCGGUUUAGAGCAUACGAUUGCAGUCGCGAAUUCAUCGUAGGGUCCCGUGUUCAAGUCACGGUGAGGCCU
This is a non-coding RNA of Rhodofomes roseus, 84 nucleotides long. NCBI's taxonomy places the organism in Eukaryota, Fungi, Basidiomycota, Agaricomycetes, Polyporales, Fomitopsidaceae. The record is from the annotation of a RefSeq genome assembly.